RNAcentral lists this ribosomal RNA (614 nucleotides) under uncultured bacterium. Its description in RNAcentral is "bacterial SSU rRNA". It matches the Rfam family "Bacterial small subunit ribosomal RNA", at positions 45 to 650 of the family's 1533-position model. The record is from RNAcentral.
UGCUUAAUACAUGCAAGUCGAGCGAGGUUACUGCGACAGAUCCCUUCGGGGUGAAGUUGCUUUAGCCUAGCGGCGGACGGGUGAGUAACGCGUGGGUAACCUACCCUAAAGUUUGGGAUAACAGCGGGAAACCGCUGCUAAUACCGGAUGCCUUUACCGUGUGGCAUCACAAGGUAAAGAAAGGUGACGCUUUAGGAUGGGCCCGCGUCCCAUUAGCUAGUUGGUGAGGUAACAGCUCACCAAGGCGACGAUGGGUAGCCGGCCUGAGAGGGUGGACGGCCACACUGGGACUGAGACACGGCCCAGACUCCUACGGGAGGCAGCAGUAGGGAAUAUUGCGCAAUGGACGGAAGUCUGACGCAGCGACGCCGCGUGAGCGAUGAAGGCCUUCGGGUCGUAAAGCUCUGUCCUUGGGGAAGAAGGUCUUCGGACUUGACGGUACCCAAGAAGAAAGCCCCGGCUAACUACGUGCCAGCAGCCGCGGUAAUACGUAGGGGGCGAGCGUUGUCCGGAAUUACUGGGCGUAAAGGGUGCGUAGGCGGCCCUUUAAGUCAGAUGUGAAAGCCCGCAGCUUAACUGCGGAAUUGCAUUUGAAACUGGAGGGCUUGAGUGUC